RNAcentral lists this ribosomal RNA (497 nucleotides) under uncultured bacterium. Its description in RNAcentral is "partial 16S ribosomal RNA". It matches the Rfam family "Bacterial small subunit ribosomal RNA", at positions 28 to 507 of the family's 1533-position model. The record is from RNAcentral.
GAUGAACGCUGGCGGCGUGCCUAAUACAUGCAAGUCGAGCGAACGGACGAGAAGCUUGCUUCUCUGAUGUUAGCGGCGGACGGGUGAGUAACACGUGGAUAACCUACCUAUAAGACUGGGAUAACUUCGGGAAACCGUAGCUAAUACCGGAUAAUAUUUUGAACCGCAUGGUUCAAAAGUGAAAGACGGUCUUGCUGUCACUUAUAGAUGGAUCCGCGCUGCAUUAGCUAGUUGGUAAGGUAACGGCUUACCAAGGCAACGAUGCAUAGCCGACCUGAGAGGGUGAUCGGCCACACUGGAACUGAGACACGGUCCAGACUCCUACGGGAGGCAGCAGUAGGGAAUCUUCCGCAAUGGGCGAAAGCCUGACGGAGCAACGCCGCGUGAGUGAUGAAGGUCUUCGGAUCGUAAAACUCUGUUAUUAGGGAAGAACAUAUGUGUAAGUAACUGUGCACAUCUUGACGGUACCUAAUCACAAAGCCACGGCUAACUACGUG